This 342-nucleotide long non-coding RNA is filed under the name Rattus norvegicus (Norway rat). Its description in RNAcentral is "long non-coding RNA NONRATT019307". The record is from RNAcentral. Lineage: Eukaryota; Metazoa; Chordata; Mammalia; Rodentia; Muridae.
UGCGAUGAGGAAGAAGAAGUUUGGAAUGAAGAAAUAAAUGAGGAAGAUGUCGAUGAGUGUGCUGAGGACGAAGGUGAAGAUGAAGUUCGAGUAAUAGAAUUUAAGAGAAAAUACAGAGAAGGUUCUCCACUAAAAGAGGAAAGCCUUGCAAGGGAGGACUCCCCACUAAGCAGCCCUAGUUCCCAGCCUGGGACCCCCGAUGAGCAGCUGGUGUUAGGAAAGAAGGGAGAUAUCGCCAGGAAUUCUUAUUCCAGAUACAACACGAUAUCCUAUCGGAAAAUCAGGAAAGGCCAAUGAGAAGCCUAAAAUUAAACCCCACCUCCAUUAAACAUGGUUUUAUAG